UGGGGAAUCUUGCACAAUGGGGGCAACCCUGAUGCAGCGACGCCGCGUGAGCGAUGAAGCCCUCCGGGGCGUAAAGCUCUUUCGACCGGAACGAUAAUGACGGUCCCGGGAGAAGAAGCUGCGGCUAACUACGUGCCAGCAGCCGCGGUAAUACGUAGGCAGCAAGCGUUGUUCGGAGUUACUGGGCGUAAAGAGUGCGUAGGCGGUUUUCUAAGUUCGGUGUGAAAUCUCCCGGCUUAACUGGGAGGGUGCGCCGAAGACUGGGAAGCUGGAGUGUGGGAAAGGCAGGCGGAAUUCCUGGUGUAGCGGUGAAAUGCGUAGAUAUCAGGAGUAACACCGGCGGUGUAGACGGCUUGCUAGACCAUAACUGACGCUGAGGCACGAAAGCGUGGGUAGCAAACA
Molecule: ribosomal RNA, 402 nt
Filed under: uncultured bacterium
Lineage: Bacteria
Description: bacterial SSU rRNA
Rfam family: Bacterial small subunit ribosomal RNA
Source: RNAcentral